AUCUGGAGACAAGUUCAAGUACUAUUGGACGCAGACAGCCCGUGAUUCUUUUACUGGUGAGCAGCGUGGUGCAGGGGCAAUCACAUGGGGGAAGAUUGA
RNAcentral lists this non-coding RNA (99 nucleotides) under Karenia brevis. The record is from RNAcentral. Lineage: Eukaryota; Dinophyceae; Gymnodiniales; Kareniaceae.